RNAcentral lists this ribosomal RNA (1019 nucleotides) under Trematophoma sp. CBS 157.86. Its description in RNAcentral is "SSU rRNA". It matches the Rfam family "Eukaryotic small subunit ribosomal RNA", at positions 75 to 1105 of the family's 1831-position model. Lineage: Eukaryota; Fungi; Ascomycota; Dothideomycetes; Pleosporales; Melanommataceae. The record is from RNAcentral.
UAUACCGUGAAACUGCGAAUGGCUCAUUAAAUCAGUUAUCGUUUAUUUGAUAGUACCUUACUACUUGGAUAACCGUGGUAAUUCUAGAGCUAAUACAUGCUGAAAACCCCAACUUCGGGAGGGGUGUAUUUAUUAGAUAAAAAACCAACGCCCUUCGGGGCUUCUUGGUGAUUCAUGAUAACUUAACGGAUCGCAUGGCCUUGCGCCGGCGACGGUUCAUUCAAAUUUCUGCCCUAUCAACUUUCGAUGGUAAGGUAUUGGCUUACCAUGGUUUCAACGGGUAACGGGGAAUUAGGGUUCGAUUCCGGAGAGGGAGCCUGAGAAACGGCUACCACAUCCAAGGAAGGCAGCAGGCGCGCAAAUUACCCAAUCCUGAUACAGGGAGGUAGUGACAAUAAAUACUGAUACAGGGCUCUUUUGGGUCUUGUAAUUGGAAUGAGUACAAUUUAAACCUCUUAACGAGGAACAAUUGGAGGGCAAGUCUGGUGCCAGCAGCCGCGGUAAUUCCAGCUCCAAUAGCGUAUAUUAAAGUUGUUGCAGUUAAAAAGCUCGUAGUUGAACCUUGGGUCUGGCUGGCAGGUCCGCCUCACCGCGUGUACUUGUCCGGCCGGGCCUUCCUUCUGGAGAACCUCAUGCCCUUCACUGGGCGUGUUGGGGACCAGGACUUUUACUUUGAAAAAAUUAGAGUGUUCAAAGCAGGCCUUUGCUCGAAUACGUUAGCAUGGAAUAAUAAAAUAGGACGUGCGGUCCUAUUUUGUUGGUUUCUAGGACCGCCGUAAUGAUUAAUAGGGACAGUCGGGGGCAUCAGUAUUCAAUUGUCAGAGGUGAAAUUCUUGGAUUUAUUGAAGACUAACUACUGCGAAAGCAUUUGCCAAGGAUGUUUUCAUUAAUCAGUGAACGAAAGUUAGGGGAUCGAAGACGAUCAGAUACCGUCGUAGUCUUAACCGUAAACUAUGCCGACUAGGGAUCGGGCGAUGUUCUUUUUCUGACUCGCUCGGCACCUACGAGAAAUCAAAGUU